Molecule: small nuclear RNA, 66 nt
Filed under: Cervus elaphus hippelaphus
Lineage: Eukaryota; Metazoa; Chordata; Mammalia; Artiodactyla; Cervidae
Source: RNAcentral
GAUACAGAGAUUACCAUGGAUCCUGCCUAAGGAGGAUAUGCAAAUUGCGAACUAUUCCAUAUUUUU